This 202-nucleotide non-coding RNA is filed under the name Gammaproteobacteria bacterium. The record is from RNAcentral. Lineage: Bacteria; Pseudomonadati; Pseudomonadota; Gammaproteobacteria.
AAUCCGCCCCCUGCAUCAGGUGCCUGUUCGAUCUCCCUCGCCGGGGAUGAUCUGGAACAGGUUAAACGGGAAGUGUGGUGCGUCCGGGCAACUUUUUUGAAGUGGCCGCCCGCGACAAAACCACCGCUGCCCCCGCAACGGUAAAUGCCCUCUCCAACGGAGAGGUCACAAGCCCGAAACCGGCCUGGUGAGCGUCGCAGUC